AGUGAACGCUGGCGGUAGGCCUAACACAUGCAAGUCGAACGGCAGCACAGUAAGAGCUUGCUCUUACGGGUGGCGAGUGGCGGACGGGUGAGGAAUACAUCGGAAUCUACUUUUUCGUGGGGGAUAACGUAGGGAAACUUACGCUAAUACCGCAUACGACCUACGGGUGAAAGCAGGGGAUCUUCGGACCUUGCGCGAUUGAAUGAGCCGAUGUCGGAUUAGCUAGUUGGCUGGGUAAAGGCCCACCAAGGCGACGAUCCGUAGCUGGUCUGAGAGGAUGAUCCGCCACACUGGAACUGAGACACGGUCCAGACUCCUACGGGAGGCAGCAGUGGGGAAUCUUGGACAAUGGGCGCAAGCCUGAUCCAGCCAUACCGCGUGGGUGAAGAAGGCCUUCGGGUUGUAAAGCCCUUUUGUUGGGAAAGAAAAACAGCAGGUUAAUCCACCCCUGUUCUGACGGUACCCAAACAAUAAGCACCGGCUAACUUCGUG
RNAcentral lists this ribosomal RNA (492 nucleotides) under uncultured bacterium. RNAcentral's name for it is "partial 16S ribosomal RNA". It matches the Rfam family "Bacterial small subunit ribosomal RNA", at positions 29 to 507 of the family's 1533-position model. The record is from RNAcentral.